This 61-nucleotide transfer RNA is filed under the name Ixodes ricinus (castor bean tick). RNAcentral's name for it is "tRNA-Ala". Lineage: Eukaryota; Metazoa; Arthropoda; Arachnida; Ixodida; Ixodidae. The record is from RNAcentral.
AGAAAAGUAUUUAAAAUUAUAAAAUCUAACUUGCAAUUAGAAAUUGAUCUUUCCUUUUCUA